Molecule: ribosomal RNA, 301 nt
Filed under: uncultured bacterium
Lineage: Bacteria
Description: partial 16S ribosomal RNA
Rfam family: Bacterial small subunit ribosomal RNA
Source: RNAcentral
CAGUAGCCGCGGGAAUACAGAGGGUGCAAGCGUUAAUCGGAUUUACUGGGCGUAAAGGGCGCGUAGGUGGUUAUGUAAGUGAGAUGUGAAAUCCCCGGGCUCAACCUGGGAACUGCAUCUUAUACUGCGUAGCUGGAGUGCAGUAGAGGGUAGUGGAAUUUCCGGUGUAGCGGUGAAAUGCGUAGAUAUCGGAAGGAACACCAGUGGCGAAGGCGGCUACCUGGACUGACACUGACACUGAGGCGCGAAAGCGUGGGGAGCAAACAGGAUUAGAGACCCCUGUAGUCCCUGUCUCUUAUAC